This 408-nucleotide ribosomal RNA is filed under the name uncultured bacterium. RNAcentral's name for it is "bacterial SSU rRNA". It matches the Rfam family "Bacterial small subunit ribosomal RNA", at positions 506 to 916 of the family's 1533-position model. The record is from RNAcentral.
UGCCAGCCGCCGCGGUAACACGUAGGGGGCGAGCGUUGUUCGGAAUUACUGGGCGUAAAGGGCAUGUAGGCGGUUUUGUAAGCCUGACGUGAAAGGCUAUGGCUCAACCAUGGCACUGCGUUGGGAACUGCGAGACUUGAAUCAUGGAGAGGGAGCUGGAAUUCCAGGUGUAGGGGUGAAAUCUGUAGAUAUCUGGAAGAACACCAGUGGCGAAGGCGAGCUCCUGGCCAAUGAUUGACGCUGAGGUGCGAAAGUGUGGGGAUCAAACAGGAUUAGAGACCCUGGUAGUCCACACUGUCAACGAUGUGCACUAGGUGCUGGGGCGGACGCUUCAGUGCCGGAGCUAACGCGGUAAGUGCACCGCCUGGGGAGUAUGCUCGCAAGGGUGAAACUCAAAUGAAUUGACGG